RNAcentral lists this ribosomal RNA (373 nucleotides) under uncultured organism. RNAcentral describes it as "partial 16S ribosomal RNA". It matches the Rfam family "Bacterial small subunit ribosomal RNA", at positions 527 to 896 of the family's 1533-position model. The record is from RNAcentral.
GUAGGUGGCAAGCGUUGUCCGGAAUUAUUGGGCGUAAAGCGCGCGCAGGCGGUUCUUUAAGUCUGAUGUGAAAGCCCACGGCUCAACCGUGGAGGGUCAUUAGAAACUGGAGAACUUGAGUACAGAAGAGGAAAGCGGAAUUCCACGUGUAGCGGUGAAAUGCGUAGAGAUGUGGAGGAACACCAGUGGCGAAGGCGGCUUUCUGGUCUGUAACUGACGCUGAGGCGCGAAAGCGUGGGGAGCAAACAGGAUUAGAUACCCUGGUAGUCCACGCCGUAAACGAUGAGUGCUAAGUGUUAGGGGGGUUUCCGCCCCCCUUAGUGCUGCAGCUAACGCAUUAAGCACUCCGCCUGGGAGUACGGCCGCAAGGCUG